AGUACUAGGCAAAUAUAUACAAAGUAAUGUCAUUAGCCCAACAACAAUGAAAUCAACUAUAAAACCCUGUGGGAAUGGUGGCGCAAAUUGCCACAAGGCUAUCAAAUUUCUGGACACUUCCUGACAUUUUAGUUUUAAUUUCCAUUAUCAAGUGUGGCAGCCACAAGAUCAAAAAAUUUAUGAUUAUAAACGUGUAAAUUAUAAAUUCAAACGAUGAAAAUGUGAAAAAAGAAGUAAAAUGUAAAAGCCUUUAAAAUCCAAAGCAAAGCAUUUGCAUAGUGGCAUUUGCAUACAACUCUGGAAUUAGAAAAUUUGAUCAGCUGGGCUAAUGACUUUACCUUGUAUAAAUUUACCUAGGGUAAGCAGUAAUCUGCUUAUAAGCGCAGUAUGCAACUCUGGCGAAAUUUUCGUUACCACAGGAUGGUCAUGCAUCAUGCAUCGCAUGAGGUCAUGCGAACAGCUGAGUGCAAUUUUUUUUAUUUUUGUUUUGAUUUUGCAGUAAAGCUAAAUGUCAAAGGCUUCAUAACACACUAAAUGUCUAAAUCUAAAUGGCUUCAUAACACACAGCUGUGAUUGUUUUUUCUAAAAUCUUAAAAAGAUGUUCUAUUUGAUCCGAUAUUCCACACAUAAGCAACAAAACAGUCUUAUAAUGUUGAAAAUACAAAACUAAAACCCAUUUGACUUUUCAAUUUUCGGCAUUUGCCACACAAAGUAGUUCCAUAGGGGAUAGAUUUUUAUUGUUGUUCUAAUGACGCUACCUCUUAAUUCUACCAUGUCGUUACCAUAAGAAAUGCAUCGACAUAUCCGAAACGAAAUUUUCGUUACCGGCACCGUUACUAAAAAUUUCGCUUGUAGGUACGCAGUUCAAAUAAAAUUUUCUUUGUGCAGCAGGAUGACAUAAAGGCAUUGAAACAUUUUUUUCUUGAUUACUUUAUUAACCAAAAAUGAUUAAAAUUCGACCAAAAUUAUAAAUUGAUGUUUCUGUGGCGACACAAAUGUCUUGGCUGCGACAGAAAAUUUCACUAGAGGUGCAUACACAGCUAUGAGAAAAUAAUUAAAUAUUUUCGCGGCAGUUCCGAAAGCAGAAUAGAAUACCAUGAUAAUGAUAAGAACGAAUCUGCAAUGUAGCGGGUGUGGAAUGACAAAUUUCAGAAGAAUCCGCCAUAAAAAUGGGUGAAUGAUGUCUGUAAAUUUGUAAAUAAUAAAAGUUAAAAGCUUACAAAAACAGAAAAACUACAUUCCAAAAAUUGUUUGACGGAGGGAGAUACAUGGUCAUAAAUCCUAUGAGAGUAAAGGUAACGUACUACUCUAUUAAUCCCCAACCUAACUCUGACCAUAUUUGAAGCGGAUAUACCGUAAUAAAGCUCAAGGCAGUACAAUAUAUGCGGCAUUACUAAUGAAUGGACUAACUUUAUCCUUAUGUACCUCGGCAAUACCAUAGCAAUAUUAUACAUCUGGCGGCGUGUAUGGCUUGCGAUAAACUAUUAUAUUAAAAUGGGCUUCAGCACGAGAGGAGAACCCUAUUGCCUUAGUCUUUGCCGAAUUGACGCUCAAUCUGUUAGACUCCAUGCAGAUGUCUACAGAACGCAUUACGAAAUUAAUUUUUGUUUGCAUGACACCCAUCAUCGGCAUAUGAUGUGCACCAACCCUGUAUCCGAUCAAAAAAAAUAAUUCAGAAAAAUUAUGAAAUGUAAGGGCCCGAGUACAGAACCCUGAGGAAACCCACUCCUUACAGUAAACUUAUCGAAAGAUACCCCAUUCACUAGCACAAAUUAUCUCCUGGGGGUUACAUCCGGUGCAUAGAACCGGCUGACAUGGGAUUGUAGUUUGAUAUUCAUAGAAGAUUUGAUAAAAAUCAAUUUUCAUUAACAAUUUUUCUUUGGCUAACUUUUAAAAGUUCCUUGUUAUCGUAUUUUUUUAAUAAAAUUGCAUCAAUG
Stomoxys calcitrans (stable fly) is the source of this 1937-nucleotide long non-coding RNA. RefSeq lists it as uncharacterized. The transcript is spliced from 3 exons. Lineage: Eukaryota; Metazoa; Arthropoda; Insecta; Diptera; Muscidae. The record is from RefSeq and is a predicted model, not a curated record.